UACGUAGGGUGCGAGCGUUAAUCGGAAUUACUGGGCGUAAAGCGUGCGCAGGCGGUUGUGCAAGACAGGUGUGAAAAUCCCCGGGCGUUAACCUGGGAACGUGCACUUGUGACUGCACGGCUGGAGUGCGGCAGAGGGGGAGUGAAUUCCGCGUGUAGCAGUGAAAUGCGUAGAGAUGCGGAGGAACACCGAUGGCGAAGGCAGCCCCCUGGGAUAACACUGACGCUCAUGCACGAAAGCGUGGGGAGCAAACAGGAUUAGAAACCCUAGUAGU
RNAcentral lists this ribosomal RNA (274 nucleotides) under uncultured bacterium. RNAcentral describes it as "partial 16S ribosomal RNA". It matches the Rfam family "Bacterial small subunit ribosomal RNA", at positions 524 to 794 of the family's 1533-position model. The record is from RNAcentral.